Molecule: ribosomal RNA, 465 nt
Filed under: uncultured bacterium
Lineage: Bacteria
Description: partial 16S ribosomal RNA
Rfam family: Bacterial small subunit ribosomal RNA
Source: RNAcentral
GACGAACGCUGGCGGCGUGCUUAACACAUGCAAGUCGAACGGAAAGGCCCCUUUGGGGGUACUCGAGUGGCGAACGGGUGAGUAACACGUGAGUAACCUGCCCUUGACUUCGGGAUAACUUCAGGAAACUGGGGCUAAUACCGGAUAGGAAUCCUUGCUGCAUGGUGGGGGUUGGAAAGCUUCGGCGGUUUUGGAUGGACUCGCGGCUUAUCAGCUUGUUGGUGGGGUAGUGGCUUACCAAGGCUUUGACGGGUAGCCGGCCUGAGAGGGCGACCGGCCACAGUGGGGGGGGGGGGCGGCCCAGACUCCGGCGGGGGGGAGCAGGGGGGGAGGGUGCAGAAUGGGCGGGAGGCUGAGGGAGCAACGGCGGGGGGGGGAUGACGGGCGGCGGGGUGGGAGCCGGGUUCAGCAGGGGCGAAGCUGGUGGUGACGGUACCUGCAGAAGAAGCACCGGCUAACUACGUG